GCUGGGUGUGGUGGUGCAUGUCUGUAAUCCCAUCCACUUUGGAAGUUGAGGCAGGAGGAUCUCUAGUUCUUAGUCAGCCUCAGCAAUUUAGCAUGGUCCUAAGCAACAUAGUAAGACCCUGUCUCAA
RNAcentral lists this small RNA (127 nucleotides) under Marmota monax (woodchuck). The record is from RNAcentral. Lineage: Eukaryota; Metazoa; Chordata; Mammalia; Rodentia; Sciuridae.